Molecule: ribosomal RNA, 118 nt
Filed under: Pteropus alecto (black flying fox)
Lineage: Eukaryota; Metazoa; Chordata; Mammalia; Chiroptera; Pteropodidae
Also listed under: 1 other name
Source: RNAcentral
GUCUACAGCCAUGCUACCCUGAACAAGCCCGAUCCCGUCUGAUCUCGGAAGCUAAGCAGGGUUGGCCUGCUUAGUACUUGGAUGGGAGACCACCUAGGAAGACCAGGUGCUAUAGGCA